RNAcentral lists this ribosomal RNA (482 nucleotides) under uncultured bacterium. RNAcentral describes it as "partial 16S ribosomal RNA". It matches the Rfam family "Bacterial small subunit ribosomal RNA", at positions 30 to 507 of the family's 1533-position model. The record is from RNAcentral.
AUUGAACGCUGGCGGCAUGCUUUACACAUGCAGGUCGAACGGUAACAGGCCGCAAGGUGCUGACGAGUGGCGAACGGGUGAGUAAUGCAUCGGAACGUUCCCAGUCGCGGGGGAUAACUACUCGAAAGAGUAGCUAAUACCGCAUACGCACUAUGGAUGCAAGCUUGGGACCGUAAGGCCUCGCGCGAUUAGAUCGUACGAUAUCAGAUUAGGUAGUUGGCGGGGUAAAGGCGCACCAAGCCAACGAUCUGUAGCUGGUCUGAGAGGACGAACAGCCAGACUGGGACUGAGACACGGCACAGACUCCGACGGGAGGCAGCAGUGGGGAAUUUUAGACGAUGGGCGCAAGCCUGAUCCAGGAAUGCCGCGUGCAGGAAGAAGGACUUCGGGUUGUAGACUGCUUUUGUACGGAGCGAAGCAGCUCUGGUUAAUACCCGAGGAUAAUGACGGUACCGUAAGAAUAAGCUCCGGCUAACUACGUG